RNAcentral lists this ribosomal RNA (253 nucleotides) under uncultured bacterium. Its description in RNAcentral is "partial 16S ribosomal RNA". It matches the Rfam family "Bacterial small subunit ribosomal RNA", at positions 524 to 776 of the family's 1533-position model. The record is from RNAcentral.
AACGUAGGAGGCAAGCGUUAUCCGGAGUAACUGGGCGUAAAGGGCGAGUAGGUGGUUGCGUAAGUUGGUUAUGAAAGCUCCUGGCUAAACUGGGAGAGGUUGACCAAGACUGCGCGACUUGAGUGGAGAAGAGGUAAACGGAAUUCCGCGUGUAGUGGUGAAAUGCGUAGAGAUGCGGAAGAACACCAGUGGCGAAGGCGGUUCUCUGGGACGGUACUGACGCUGAGACGCGAAAGCGUGGGGAGCGAACAGG